AAAAAAAUCAUAAGUCAUUUCCAAAUCAAAAAAUAAAAUAUUACUUUCUGACUCACAAGGGCAUUUUCGUCAUUUUUCUUCAAAAAUAUCGAAACUCGCCAAAAACAUGGUGUAAAAGCUAAAUAUAUUCAUACAUACUUUAAAUCAAACAACUGAAGAAUAAAAUUACUUUUACAGUGACACAUGGGCCCCCAACUAACCAAGAAGGUGUAGAGCUACGAACCCUUACUUCCUAUGAUGCAACUUCGAGAUUAAUUCUCGUCUUAAUCAACUAUCAACAAACUGUUC
This 288-nucleotide long non-coding RNA is filed under the name Theobroma cacao (cacao). RNAcentral describes it as "long non-coding RNA (TCAC_LNC006460)". The record is from RNAcentral. Lineage: Eukaryota; Viridiplantae; Streptophyta; Magnoliopsida; Malvales; Malvaceae.